AUUGAACGCUAGCGGCAGGCCUAACACAUGCAAGUCGAGGGAGAGGUUAUCUUCGGGUAACCAAAACCGGCGCACGGGUGCGUAACGCGUGGGAAUCUACCUUUUGCUACGGAAUAGCUCCGGGAAACUGGAAUUAAUACCGUAUGUGCCCUUAGGGGGAAAGAUUUAUCGGCAAGAGAUGAGCCCGCGUUGGAUUAGCUAGUUGGUGGGGUAAAGGCCUACCAAGGCGACGAUCCAUAGCUGGUCUGAGAGGAUGAUCAGCCACAUUGGGACUGAGACACGGCCCAAACUCCUACGGGAGGCAGCAGUGGGGAAUAUUGGACAAUGGGCGCAAGCCUGAUCCAGCCAUGCCGCGUGAGUGAUGAAGGCCUUAGGGUUGUAAAGCUCUUUCACCGGAGAAGAUAAUGACGGUAUCCGGAGAAGAAGCCCCGGCUAACUUCGUGCCAGCAGCCGCGGUAAUACGAAGGGGGCUAGCGUUGUUCGGAAUGACUGGGCGUAAAGCGCACGUAGGCGGACAUUUAAGUCAGGGGUGAAAUCCCGGGGCUCAACCUCGGAACUGCCUUUGAUACUGGGUGUCUGGAGUGUGGAAGAGGUGAGUGGAAUUCCGAGUGUAGAGGUGAAAUUCGUAGAUAUUCGGAGGAACACCAGUGGCGAAGGCGGCUCACUGGUCCACAACUGACGCUGAGGUGCGAAAGCGUGGGGAGCAAACAGG
RNAcentral lists this ribosomal RNA (712 nucleotides) under uncultured Rhizobiaceae bacterium. Its description in RNAcentral is "bacterial SSU rRNA". It matches the Rfam family "Bacterial small subunit ribosomal RNA", at positions 28 to 776 of the family's 1533-position model. The record is from RNAcentral. Lineage: Bacteria; Pseudomonadati; Pseudomonadota; Alphaproteobacteria; Hyphomicrobiales; Rhizobiaceae.